GGGGACGCAGCAGCAGAGCGCACAAGAAGAGGGGGGGAGAGAGAGGGCCUAAGCAUAGGGAGGGGCGACGGACCAAGCUAGGUUAAACAAGAAGGGGGGGCGCGUUAAACGACGCGGCUGCCGCUGCCCGGUGCCGCGCGUACGGGACGGCCGUGGGCGUGGCCGUGUCCGUGGCCUCGCCGCGAUUAACUAAGGGAGAGUACAACCGUAUCCAACGGUCUUUUGAAGUCGUCCCCUUUUUUACCAAGUCGAGAAAGACGUUCACGGCCGUCUGCUGCCGUCACAGCUAUGUCUACGACACUCUCGCUCCUCCAGAGACGACCUGUUCCGACUCAGCCACUAGUUCAGCCAACAUUCCAGGCCUCCGGCCAUGCUCCGAGCCUACACCGACACGUCAUGGCAGAGCAGCUAAGUAGACGAGCUAGGCGCACUGGUCGCCCUGGACAAGGAGGUAGAGGACCUCUACUUCCUGAACUCCGCCCUACAGCGACGUGCGGACGACGCCUACUAAAAGCUGUUCUUCGGACGCUUCCGACCGAGGCAAAAUCGCUUCUUCACAGUAUACGACCUCUUUAAAAAACUUCCUUUGGGACUCGCCUAUGACGUUACCAAAUCGGUGAAACGACGAUGACCCCUCAGUCGUGUGUUUUUCCCACGAGCCCGUGAACGAGUCAAACGUAAACAAUUAGCACUACAAACGACCCUCCUCGAACUCACCUUUCCGUCCGUACCAGUCAGAGGACGACAACAACGAUGAUUCGGAGUGAUGAAAGCACUAGAACUACAAGAGGUCUGUCACCUUUUAAAGGAACUUAUACAGGGUCUGAAGACCAGAAGUCUUCUCGAACGACUAAGACAGUUUCUACCAGUUUAUGACGUUUAACUAUGUCUUAUAAAACAUCUAGUUAAACAGAUAAACUACAUACUCCCCUUAAAGUUUCUACACACCGUUCAUCAACUUCUAAAAGACUACCUCCUCGUCAAAAGGUGGGACAGAGUCAUACAAGAAUAAGUAGAUCUGCUUGUUUCCGAAGAAGCAAAGAAUUUUUGUAAUCCCUUCGAGUAGUCAGGCCUACGUGUCACGUGUUUCAAUCGUAAGGGUACGACGACCGAACUCCAAGAAAACAGCCGUGUAUAACUAGUCUAUAGAGAACUACUUGAAUAGGAUAACUUGACACAGUAACGGUUCCCAUCUGUUGAAACCGUAGAGUACUUACUGCUUCUUGUGCUCCUUCUUGCUCCCUCCUACUUGCUCGAACACUCCUGGUACUUACUGAACUGACUACGAUUAGUAAAACGAGAGUAUUUCCUAAAGUACCCAUGUUUCAAAGGACUGCGUGAGUUCACCUAUCCGUAGGUCAGGACCCAUUAAAAUACACCAAACAGUUUUAAUACGUUUAGUCGACAAAGAACACUUAGAGACAAGUGACCAUUGUCGUAUCUUAAAGCGUUCCGAAUACUAAUAAGUAACCAAGUCUUGCUACCCGUGAGUCAAAGUGUAUGAAGUCUAUGACUACUCUUCCUAGACUGAUCUUCAUCAGUAUUUUUUUCUUUCUCUCUAUUCUUCUCUUCUGCUGUAUCUAUACUAAGGCUGCUCCUAUUACAACUAGUCGACGAACUUGACUCUUGAAAGUGACCCUUCUCCCGAUAACUUAGUGUUACACCUUCGACCAUGGACAGUUGACUACUGAAGAGACGAGGAACCCUGUAACGGCUGUAUGGCCUAGUGGAAAGAUGAACAAUAGAAUCUCACACCGACUUUACCCGAACGAAAUCUACUAGGAGGAGGAACACCGUGUACACACCGUUAGUAUGAUCGAAGAGACCACUUCACCUCGACAAAUAUGUACGUAAAAGGGUUUACCGUAUACGUUAGAAGUCUGGUACGUAGGACUACUAAGUACGUAAAACCUACACAAUUGACGUACUCAAGCGUGCUAUGGGAUCUGGUCUUACAGAGGACCCCAAGUAGGCUCAUCCAACCACGGUUACCUUUAAGGCCGAUGUACCUGUACCUUUUAUCGACAUCAUAACGGGACUUUGUUCAAACUUACGGCAAAAACUAUAAUAAUGUCUAGAAUCACAACUAGUGCCCCAUCAUGUUUGAUUAGACGUCAGCAUUCAUACUGGGCCACUAUGUAGUGUCAAACAUUGACGAGAACCAAAAAGACUAAUUUGCAUAAGAUCUACGCGUAGUGGUCGUGGUCGAUUCUUAAAACAUGAUGUAUACGUAGACACAAAGACAUGACCGACGUCAAGGACCCACGUUUCAGAGGUUUAAAAAAAGGAAGUGUAACCUUGUAUAUAUAUCGUC
RNAcentral lists this ribosomal RNA (2314 nucleotides) under Triticum aestivum (bread wheat). RNAcentral's name for it is "partial small subunit ribosomal RNA". Lineage: Eukaryota; Viridiplantae; Streptophyta; Magnoliopsida; Poales; Poaceae. The record is from RNAcentral.